GCUGGAGUGGCGGAAUUGGUAGACGCCCAGGACUUAAGAUCCUGUGAAGGUAACUUCGUGAGAGUUCGAGUCUCUCUUCCAGCACCA
Molecule: transfer RNA, 87 nt
Filed under: Candidatus Mycoplasma haematobovis
Lineage: Bacteria; Bacillati; Mycoplasmatota; Mollicutes; Mycoplasmatales; Mycoplasmataceae
Description: Candidatus Mycoplasma haemobos tRNA-Leu
Rfam family: tRNA
About the family: Transfer RNA (tRNA) molecules are approximately 80 nucleotides in length. Their secondary structure includes four short double-helical elements and three loops (D, anti-codon, and T loops). Further hydrogen bonds mediate the characteristic L-shaped molecular structure. tRNAs have two regions of fundamental functional importance: the anti-codon, which is responsible for specific mRNA codon recognition, and the 3' end, to which the tRNAs corresponding amino acid is attached (by aminoacyl-tRNA synthetases). tRNAs cope with the degeneracy of the genetic code in two manners: having more than one tRNA (with a specific anti-codon) for a particular amino acid; and 'wobble' base-pairing, i.e. permitting non-standard base-pairing at the 3rd anti-codon position.
Source: RNAcentral